Molecule: ribosomal RNA, 1206 nt
Filed under: human gut metagenome
Description: bacterial LSU rRNA
Rfam family: Bacterial large subunit ribosomal RNA
Source: RNAcentral
GUCUCGUGGGCUCGGAGAUGUGUAUAAGAGACAGAUUCCAAACGAACUUGGAGAUAGCUGGUUCUCUCCGAAAUAGCUUUAGGGCUAGCGUCGAUGUUAAGUCUCUUGGAGGUAGAGCACUGUUUGGGUGAGGGGUCCAUCCCGGAUUACCAAUCUCAGAUAAACUCCGAAUGCCAAUGAGAUAUAAUCGGCAGUCAGACUGCGAGUGCUAAGAUCCGUAGUCGAAAGGGAAACAGCCCAGACCACCAGCUAAGGUCCCAAAAUAUAUGUUAAGUGGAAAAGGAUGUGGGGUUGCACAGACAACUAGGAUGUUAGCUUAGAAGCAGCUAUUCAUUCAAAGAGUGCGUAAUAGCUCACUAGUCGAGUGACCCUGCGCCGAAAAUGUACCGGGGCUAAACAUAUUACCGAAGCUUUGGAUUGAUAUUUUAUCAAUGGUAGGAGAGCGUUCUUAACCGCGAUGAAGGUAUACCGUGAGGAGUGCUGGAGCGUUAAGAAGUGAGAAUGCCGGUAUGAGUAGCGCAAGAUAAGUGAGAAUCUUAUCCACCGUAAGACUAAGGUUUCCAGGGGAAGGCUCGUCCGCCCUGGGUUAGUCGGGACCUAAGGAGAGACCGAAAGGUGUAUCCGAUGGACAACAGGUUGAUAUUCCUGUACUAGAGUAUAUAGUGAUGGAGGGACGCAGUAGGCUAACUAAACCAGACGAUUGGAAGUGUCUGGCCAAGCAGUGAGGUGUGAUAUGAGUCAAAUGCUUAUAUCUUUAACAUUGAGCUGUGAUGGGGAGCGAAGUUUAGUAGCGAAGUUAGUGAUGUCACACUGCCGAGAAAAGCUUCUAGCGUUAAUUAUACUCUACCCGUACCGCAAACCGACACAGGUAGUCGAGGCGAGUAGCCUCAGGUGAGCGAGAGAACUCUCGUUAAGGAACUCGGCAAAAUGGCCCCGUAACUUCGGGAGAAGGGGCGCUGACUGAUGGUCAGCCGCAGUGAAUAGGCCCAAGCAACUGUUUAUCAAAAACACAGCUCUCUGCUAAAUCGUAAGAUGAUGUAUAGGGGGUGACGCCUGCCCGGUGCUGGAAGGUUAAGAGGAGUGCUUAGCGUAAGCGAAGGCAUGAAUUGAAGCCCCAGUAAACGGCGGCCGUAACUAUAACGGUCCUAAGGUAGCGAAAUUCCUUGUCGGGUAAGUUCCGACCCGCACGAAAGGCGUAAUGAUUUG